RNAcentral lists this ribosomal RNA (418 nucleotides) under uncultured bacterium. RNAcentral's name for it is "bacterial SSU rRNA". It matches the Rfam family "Bacterial small subunit ribosomal RNA", at positions 33 to 496 of the family's 1533-position model. The record is from RNAcentral.
UACGCUGGCGGCACGCCUAAACAUGCAAGUCGAACGAAGUAGCAAUACUUAGUGGCAGACGGGUGAGUAACAUGUAGGUAUCUGCCCUUUGGCCUGGAAUAACACGAGGAAACUUGUGCUAAUACCGGAUAAGUCUUUACGGAGAAAGCUUUAUGCACCAUUGGAUGAGCCUGCACUUGAUUAGUUUGUUGGUGGGGUAAUGGCCUACCAAGACUGUGAUCAAUAGCUGAUUUGAGAGGAUGAUCAGCCACAUUGGGACUGAGACACGGCCCAAACUCCUACGGGAGGCAGCAGUGGGGAAUCUUGCACAAUGGAGGAAACUCUGAUGCAGCGAUGCCGCGUGAGUGAAGAAGGCCUUUGGGUUGUAAAGCUCUUUCGUCGGGGAAGAAAAUGACUGUACCCGAAUAAGAAGGUCCGG